GGGGAGGUAGUGACGAUCAAUAACGAUGCGGGACUCUGACGAGGCUCCGUAAUCGGAAUGGGCGUAGUUUAAAUCCUUCGACGAGGAUCAAGUGGAGGGCAAGUCUGGUGCCAGCAGCCGCGGUAAUUCCAGCUCCACUAGCGUAUAUUAAAGUUGCUGCAGUUAAAAAGCUCGUAGUCGGAUUUUGGGAUUGUGCCUUUUGCUCGUGGCGUCUUCUGCGGUUCGCGCCGUUGGGAGUCGUUGCGGGUCGUUGGCCCUGCCGGCGAGGUCCCCGCCUGAUGGCGGGGCUCCACCUUGCUCGUGCAGCCCUCCGUCGCGUUUGGGCGGGUGUCCUUAACUGGAUGCCUGUUUUUUAAACGUGGCCCGUUUACCUUGAACAAAUCGGAGUGCUCAAAGCAGGCUCUACGUCGCUCGAACGGUAGCGCAUGGAAUAAUGGAAGAGGACCGGCUUCCGCUUCUGUUGGUCUCACGGAGGCAGGUAAUGAUCAAGAGGGACGGACGGGGGCAGAGGUAUGUCUUGGCGAGAGGUGAAAUUCUUGGACCCUAGACAGACCCUCGAGAGCGAAAGCAUCUGCCAAGGAUGUUUCCAUUGAUCAAGAACGAAAGUCGCGGGAUCGAACGGGAUUAGAUACCCCGGUAGUCGCGACCGUAAACGAUGCCAACCGGGAAUUUGGCGGCGUUACUUCCAUGACCCGUCAAGCGCCCGACCCGGGAAACCGAGAGUCUUUGGGUUCCGGGGGGAGUAUGGUUGCAAAGCUGAAACUUAAAGGAAUUGACGGAAGGGCACCACCAGGAGUGGAGCCUGCGGCUUAAUUUGACUCAACACGGGGAACCUCACCCGGCCCGGACACCGCGAGGAUUGACAGACUGAGAGCUCUUUCUCGAUUCGGUGGGUGGUGGUGCAUGGCCGUUCUUAGUUGGUGGAGCGAUCUGUCUGGUUAAUUCCGAUAACGAACGAGACCCCAACCUGCUAACUAGCCCUCGGGUCCGGCUUCUGGCGGGCCCGACGGAAUGAUUCGCUUCUUAGAGGGACUCGCGGCGCCUAGCCGCACGAAGGGGGGCGAUAACAGGUCUGUGAUGCCCUUAGAUGUUCGGGGCUGCACGCGCGCUACACUGAAGGCAUCAGCGUGCGCUUUGUCCGUUCCCUGCCUGAAAAGGCUGGGUAACCCGCUGAACCGCCUUCGUGCCUGGGAUAGGGAUUUGCAAUUAUCUCCCUUGAACGAGGAAUUCCCAGUAGGCGCGAGUCAUCAGCUCGCGUCGAUUACGUCCCUGCCCUUUGUACACACCGCCCGUCGCUACUACCGAUCGAACGAUGUAGUGAGGUCCUCGGACUGGCGACUACUCGGAAGCCCGCCUCGGCGUGGUAGAAGAGCAUUGUUGACCG
Molecule: ribosomal RNA, 1384 nt
Filed under: Caecosagitta macrocephala
Lineage: Eukaryota; Metazoa; Chaetognatha; Sagittoidea; Aphragmophora; Sagittidae
Description: SSU rRNA
Rfam family: Eukaryotic small subunit ribosomal RNA
Source: RNAcentral